UACGAACUGUGCAAACGUUAUUCGGAAUCACUGGGCUUAAAGGGUGCGUAGGCGGCUUGUUAAGCAGGGUGUGAAAGCCCUCGGCUCAACCGAGGAAUAGCGCUCUGAACUGGCGAGCUGGAGUGAUGCAGGGGUGCGCGGAACUUCCAGUGGAGCGGUGAAAUGUGUUGAUAUUGGAAGGAACACCGGAGGCGAAAGCGGCGCACUGGGCAUUGUCUGACGCUGAGGCACGAAAGCCAGGGGAGCAAACGGG
This 253-nucleotide ribosomal RNA is filed under the name uncultured bacterium. Its description in RNAcentral is "partial 16S ribosomal RNA". It matches the Rfam family "Bacterial small subunit ribosomal RNA", at positions 524 to 776 of the family's 1533-position model. The record is from RNAcentral.